This 77-nucleotide transfer RNA is filed under the name Candidatus Omnitrophota bacterium. Its description in RNAcentral is "tRNA-Met". It matches the Rfam family "tRNA". From Rfam's summary of the family: Transfer RNA (tRNA) molecules are approximately 80 nucleotides in length. Their secondary structure includes four short double-helical elements and three loops (D, anti-codon, and T loops). Further hydrogen bonds mediate the characteristic L-shaped molecular structure. tRNAs have two regions of fundamental functional importance: the anti-codon, which is responsible for specific mRNA codon recognition, and the 3' end, to which the tRNAs corresponding amino acid is attached (by aminoacyl-tRNA synthetases). tRNAs cope with the degeneracy of the genetic code in two manners: having more than one tRNA (with a specific anti-codon) for a particular amino acid; and 'wobble' base-pairing, i.e. permitting non-standard base-pairing at the 3rd anti-codon position. The record is from RNAcentral. Lineage: Bacteria; Pseudomonadati; Candidatus Omnitrophota.
GCCGGAGUAGCUCAGCCUGAUAGAGCAGACGGCUCAUACCCGUUAGGUCAGAGGUUUAAAUCCUCUCUCCGGCACCA